UUCUGGAACAUUUGGAUCGCCAAGUGAAUUUUCAGCCCGAACGAUCCCUUACAGCUGCCUGGACUUAGUCCCUGUAACAACAUCAAGUUCUAAAUGUCCCCUUUCAUUUUCACCCCUGUUCUAAGGUACGUUUGUAAUGACUCAGGGUAACAUUCUGGUAUUUUAUCAAUAUUUACCAUCUUGAAAUAUCUUGAUAAUCCGAUUAAUAAAUGUUCUUAGAGUUCACUGCUCAAUUACUGUUUGCCUAAUUCUGCUAUAGUUACCAUGACUGAAACAAGAGAUAUAUAAAAGAUGAUUUCUUCUGCUUUCAGUGAACUUGUGAUAUUGACUUAAUGACAAAACAAGAAACUUCAAAAAUUAGAGAAAAGUAACUUCUGUGAGAACGAGAACCAUGCCUUUAUUUUUCUGCCACUUCAUUAUCUCUGAUGCUGACUUUGAACUCUGACAAUUAGCAUGCAAAAGUAUGUGUUGAAUAGAUGGUGAAUAAACAAACAUUUAAUGGUAUGAUUGUUCCUGAAAAUUUAACUGCCUACAAUAUUAUUAUGAUUACGUCACUCAUAUAUUUAGACAUGACAAACAAAAAUAAUACAACAAAAAAUUAGAAUUUGCUUGCACAGAUGGGCAGCUUUUGAACCCUCCCACAGCCUGACCUUCACCAAACUUCACCAGCUCAUUUCCCAUUCCUUCCAUUUACUCUCUAUACCAUAUCUCAGACUGUGAGUCUAGCUCUGUUAGUCUGAUUUACUCUUCCAUGUCAACCUGCUUCAAUACAUAUAGUUCUCUAAACCUGAAAUGCCUUAUCUUCCAACGUCCCUUGACCUGCAUUAUUCAAAUCCACAUUCAAGGCACAUAUAACUUAUAAAGAUCCAAAUUCACAGGUCCCCUGUCUUUCUGAAAAGUAUAGCUUUUAUCAUUUUUAUUAGAGUCAUUUCAGACUUUCUUUCCCAUUAGAAAAUUUUGAGGGGUGAGAAGUACAAUUUUUUUCUUGUUUUUUUUUUAAUUCAUUAUUCAUUUGCUCUAUAGUCACAAUUUAAGUCAAAUUGUGGGACAAAAACAGACAUACUAACCAAUAGAACAGAAGAGAGAACCCAGAAAUAACCCCAGACACCUAUGGUCAACCAACUUUUGACCAAGGAGGCAAGAAUAUAAAAUGGGCAAAAGACAGUCUCUUCAACAAGUGGUGCUGGGAAAACUGGACAGCUGUGUGUGCAUCAGGGAAACUAGAACACACCCUCACACCAUGCACAAAAAUAAACUUAAAAUGGCUUAAAGACUUAAACAUAGGACAAGACACUAUAAAAGUAGAAGAGAACAUAGGCAAAGCAUUCUUUGACAUCCACCCUACAAAUGUUUUCUUAGGUCAGUCUCCCAUGGCAAUAGAAAUACAAACUAAAAUUAAAUCCUAUAAAAGAAAAGAGUACUUAAAAAAUAACAUAACCGAAACUGGAAAGCCAACACAUGAAAUCAUUGUUAAAGAUUAUUUUUUUCUCUGUAAUAAAUACUUAUGAAGAUGUAAGAUGGUUAAGGAUUUUAUCUGGAUUCUAAUUUCCAUGGGAAGAUGUUAGUCAAAAAACAAUGCAUUAAUAAAAUACAUUUUCAGGAGAUUAUUCUGGCUGUAUAAUGGUGGAAAAAAAUAGUGAGUCUGAAGCAAAAUAGAUCUUAGGAGGAGAAAUCAGUUGAUCAUGUUAGAAAUUCAAAAGAGAGAUGAUGCUAGAUUGAAACAGAAUGGUCCAUGAAGGUAAGACAAGUUUGGAAUAUAUUUUUGAAAGGAAAUAAUGAGGUUUGCUGGCAGAUGGGAAAUAAUGGGCAUUGUGGAAGACACACCUGCUACACACCCAACUUCCCAAUACCUUCUCAUACACAGUAUCCCAACAUCUAUUACACCUCCAGCAUCCCAACAUCAGCUCUAUGUCCAAUAUCCCAUCAUCAGCUACACAUCCAGAGUCCAUUCCUCCUCGACCUUCUUCCCUUCCAACAGACUUUGUCCCUGCUAAUGACAGAAGCCAAUGGAUAUUAGAAAGGACAACAUCUCUUGCCUCAGGCUCCGAGCAUGGACUGUGAUUGCCUAAUACUGAUAGCACAUUUCAAUUAUUUUUGGUCAAUGAUGGAUUUAGGGUGACCAUGGGACAAAUUCUAGAUAAAAGGAUGGGAGCAAAUGCCAACUUAUUAGGUUUCCUAGGAGGCUUUUGCUUUCCUAAUAUAAGGUGACAAAUUCAGCUGGCAAGUCUCUUCCCUCUUUAGCCCAUUCACAUUUAUAUUAGCUCCCUAUUUCUGCUCGAACAAAAGCGUGACUUAAAACAACACACAUGCAUUUUCUGACAGUUCUGCAGUUCACAAGCCUGAAAUGGGACUUACUGGGCCAAAGUCACCUGGAGGUUCGAGGGGAGAAUCUGUUUCUGUUUUCCUACAUCCAUGGGAGAAGCCGCUAAUAUCUGGCUCUUGGCCUCCUACUAUCAUUAAAGUCAGCAUUUGCCAGUUGAAUUUUUCUCACACUCUUUCGCUCUGUUUUCAUCAUCACAUCUCCCCUUCUGAAUCUCCUGACUUGUUCUUUUACUUAUAAGGACGCUCGUAGUUAUAUUGGGCCCACCCCAAUAAGCCAGGACAAGCUCUCCAUCUCAGAAUCCUUAAUUUAAUCACAUCUGCAAAAUCUUGUUUACUAUGUUAGGUAACCACUUCACAGGUUCUGAGCAUCAGAACAUAAAAUUUUGGGGGGAGGGGCAUAUUUAUGCUUACCCCAGUGUUUUUUAAUCUUAACUGAUACAUAAUGCCUUAGAAUGGAAUAAUUUGCCAAGAGACAGUGAGCACAAGUGAAAGACCAUCUCCCAGUGCAAACUCUAACACUGUCUGGCCUCUGGACUGUUAGUAGACUGAAAUAUAACUCAGUGCACAGUGAACUCUCCUUGGUUAAGCAUGCUUAUCUGCGUUAUCUUUUCCUGUAGCCAUCCAUGGUAAGAAGUACAUCUUUAUGUAAUAAUCCACAAGGUGUCAUGGCCUUCAUUUGAAAGACAAAAACAAAAAACAAAUCAUUGUCCUAAGAAUAAAGAUUCUUUUAAGUUUUUUAAUUUUAUUUUUCUGUUUUCUUUAUAUUAUACUGUAGUUCAUUUGAACUUUGUAAACAAAGCAGUGGUCACAUUGAAAUCACUUGGGAAAAGGCCCUCUUUUGUGCUCAACUCCAUAUAGCUCAAUAGUACCUGAUAACUUCAAUCAGCUGCUACUUCCUGAAAUUCCCCAUCCUUUGCCUUGAAGAUUUUAUUUCUUUCUACCCUUUCCAUUUUGUAUUCUUUCUUAUUAUUGUCCUUCAUCCUACUCUCCUUUAAUUUUGUUACCUCAAGGAAUGUUAUUUAAAAAAUUUUUUUUGUCUUUUGUCUUUUUAGGGCUGCACCCAUGGCAUACGGAGGCUCCUAGCUUAGAGGGUCUAAUCGGAGCUACAGCUGGCCAGCCUAUCCACAGCCACGGCAACACGGGAUCUGAGCUGCCUCUGUGACCUGCACCACAGCUCAUGGCAAUGCUGGAUUUUAACCCACUGAGCGAGGCCAGGGAUCAAACCAGCAAUCUCAAGGUUCCUAGUCAAAUUUCUAGGAAUUUCUGCUGCGCCCCAAUGAGAACUCCUGUUUUUCAAAAUUUUGACAAAGAUUUACAAAGAGAAUUGCCUUUACGUCACAAACAACUACACACACAUGUGCCGUUGGUUCUCAACUUUAUUUUCUCAAUUAAAAAUUUUUAGAAAAAUAAUUGCUAUGUGGAUGCAAGGACUCCAUUCCUAUCAGAUGCCAACUGCUUUGGGUUCCAGAGCCCAUAGUCUUGCACUGAUUUCUUUCUAUUUCAUUAUUACCUAAGAAAUGUUUUCUAUUACACCUUACCAGAAAAGAAAACAAAGACCAAGAGGAUGAAUUUCCUUAAUUCCAUCUCUCUCUCCAGGUUUGCUCCAGUUUUCUUCUGCUACCCUUAAGAGGAAAACUUCUAGAAAGAGCUAUGCAUAAUCACAUUCUCCACUUUACCUCUCAACUCUGUAUUUACACUACUCUAAUUGAACUUUCAUUGUUACAAGCUAAUUUUUGUCAAGUUAUAGGUAGCCAAGUCCAAUGGUAGCUCUUCUGUUCUUAUCCAUGAAAUCGGAAACACUUUCAACAGAGUUUACCACUCACUUUUAUGUUUGAGGCUUUCUUCUCGUGACUUCAGGAAUCCCAUUCUCUCCUUAUUUGUCUCCUAGUCAUUGACACUCUCCUACUGAUUACAUUUGCUGGCUCCUCACCCAGGUCUCAGCAGGGUCCUAGAACCUUUCCUGGAUCCUUUAUUCUUUUCCAUCUACAAAGAAAAACUCUUGACCCAAUCUAAUCUCUGGGCUCUAACCAGCAUCCAUAGAAACAAGUCUAAAUCACACAUUUUGAUCUCUCCCUGGAACUAUGACUUAUAUAAUCAGCUACAGACUGGCCAUCUCCACAUACAAAAUAUAAAAUUGCAGAGGUGCAGCUAGCCUAAAGACAGUCUUCUCAGUCCUCUUUUUUCCUAAGUGGCAAAAGUGAAAUGGUUAAAAAAUGAGUAAUUUACCCGACUUCACACUGAUCAUCAGGCAUAAAUUAAAGAUGCUUCUAAGCCAACACCAUUAGCUGAUUAGGAUGCCCCCCCCCAAAAAAAAAUGUAAUGCAUACAUCAAAUACUCAGAAACAGGAGAAUACGAUUCCUUUUCUGUUUGCCUGGAAGGUCCAAUGUUGGCCAAACCCCAUUGGCUAGACUCCUGGAGCUACAAGCCCUGAAUUCAUUCCAUCCCAUGCUGAGUAUCACAGCAGAGGCAAAACUACAUUUCUCUUCAACUUUCCCAAAUA
RNAcentral lists this long non-coding RNA (4823 nucleotides) under Sus scrofa (pig). RNAcentral's name for it is "lncRNA (ENSSSCG00025010194.1)". Lineage: Eukaryota; Metazoa; Chordata; Mammalia; Artiodactyla; Suidae. The record is from RNAcentral.